AACAAAAACUUAAAAGUUCCAAACUGGGCUUAAAUAUUUCAUGUAAUAAAAUGUUUAUAGUACUUAUCUGAUAAGAAAGAGUUCUUUUGGUUUGUUUCUGUUACUUUUGGUUUAUCUGAGGCAGGGCUACACAAAAGAAACUCUGUUUCAAAAAAACAAAAAUACACGUCUAAUUCAACUUCAGUUGCCUAACAACUGUCAAAGCAUGCAAGAUUAAAGACAGAAAAUAGAAACCGAUUCUUACCCUUUAUAAAAUACUCUGAAAACCCCAUAGUGAUGAAACUGCUAGUUGCUAUCUUGCUCCCUAUAAUCUGACUACUUUUCAAGAGUUACAGGGCAAAAGGCAUUCAUUCUCAUAACCCAAGAUGUUUUACC
Molecule: long non-coding RNA, 375 nt
Filed under: Rattus norvegicus (Norway rat)
Lineage: Eukaryota; Metazoa; Chordata; Mammalia; Rodentia; Muridae
Description: long non-coding RNA NONRATT024356
Source: RNAcentral